CUAAGCUUCAGCUGACCCAAGACCAGCCGCAACAGAGCAGAACAGAGGAGCUACCAGAACACAAACUCUAGACCACCAUCAAGACCUACCAAGAACAACAUCUCCACUUUAUUGACGAGCUGCAAACUCAAGGCCAAACAUCUGAAAAUGCCCGCCUACUUGGACAUUGCGCUUCAGAACAGCACGAACGUGAAAGAUCAGCACAUUAGGUGUAAACUCUCUCUGCUGGAGAGGAAGUGCAGCAGUGGUGUGGAGAAACUGAAGAUAGUCAUUGGAGAACACCUCCAGAACGGGAUCCCUACAUCUCCCAUUUCUCCUAUUCUGGAGAAAACAGUGUCCUUUUUCACUCCGAAGAAGGCCUUGCUGUCACCCACGGGCUAUUCCAAAUAUUCCAGGGACAUACUGCGUCUCUUCCCCACUCCAGAGGAGGACAUUGUACCACUCUGCUUUGAACAAUGAGUGGAGAGAUGCAUGGACGUGGAGGUUCCAGUUCAGAGGUCAAGGACCCUGCUGACAUUUACUGUGGCGUUGGCUUAAUGUAUUCGCUUGAGGCGCUGCUAUAGACUGCAACUGAUUGGCCGACACUGGAUCGCAACUGACAGAGAGACAUAGUUAAAUGAAUAAUAAGUCCAAAAUAGGUUUUGUCUAAAAAUACAGUGAUUUUGUGAAGGUUAGUUUGUGUAUAUUUCAAUUCUGUCGAAAUGAUUUAGAAAUGCAUUUGCAUGCAUUGUUAUUAGCAGUCGUACUGCUCUAUCCUUUCUAUUCGAAAGUCAACCUUGGAUGUGUUUGGUGAUCUCUGAUACCUGGAAGAAAGCAGAGCGGGUUACUCUGAUUGUAAACACUUGUCCUCAGAGAUUGAGUUAGCGAGUGCUGGGCACUCUUGUUACAAUGUAGAAGUAUGGACAAUGUGACCAUUGGUUCAUCCCACUUUCUUAGGGCAUGUGAGUCAAUGUCGAAUUUGAACCGUGCUAGCCUUUACACUAAGAGGAAAUGUUAUGAUUGUUAUUUUAAAAUGUACUGUUUAUUUUGUUUUCAACUACUAAUGAAUGGCUUCACACACAUAUAAAUGUGCCUAAUACACAAAUGUGCCUAAAGUGUUUUUAAAUGUACCUAAAGUGUUUAAUUCAAAGACUAAAUAAAUAUUUUCAGCAUAUA
Molecule: long non-coding RNA, 1155 nt
Organism: Oncorhynchus tshawytscha (Chinook salmon)
Lineage: Eukaryota; Metazoa; Chordata; Actinopteri; Salmoniformes; Salmonidae
Source: Ensembl